AAAGACUCAAUUCCUGGGUUUUCGUGUCCUACGUUUGACUGUUCGUCUUAUAUGAUUUUUUUAAUUAGUAUUUUCAUUGUUGUUAAAUGAUAAAACAUAAAUAAUACUUUAUGUGUGACUUAUUUUUUUAAUUUUUUUUCAUAAUUUUUUCAAAUAAAACGGACAGUCAAAUGUUGGACACAGAAACUCAGGAAUUGAGUUGUU
Molecule: microRNA precursor, 204 nt
Filed under: Oryza sativa Indica Group (long-grained rice)
Lineage: Eukaryota; Viridiplantae; Streptophyta; Magnoliopsida; Poales; Poaceae
Description: MIR812 microRNA precursor family
Rfam family: MIR812 microRNA precursor family
Source: Rfam by way of RNAcentral